ACGGGGAUUACACGGAGAUGCGAUUUCGGUCAAAUCAAGUGCAAUCUUAGUGGCGGACGGGUGAGUAACGCGUGGGUAACCUGCCUUGCACUGGGGGAUAACACUUAGAAAUAGGUGCUAAUACCGCAUAAGCGCACGGUCCUGCAUGGGACAGUGUGAAAAACUCCGGUGGUGCAAGAUGGACCCGCGUCUGAUUAGCUGGUUGGCGGGGUAAAGGCCCACCAAGGCGACGAUCAGUAGCCGGCCUGAGAGGGUGGACGGCCACAUUGGGACUGAGACACGGCCCAAACUCCUACGGGAGGCAGCAGUGGGGGAUAUUGGACAAUGGGGGGAACCCUGAUCCAGCGACGCCGCGUGAGUGAAGAAGUAUUUCGGUAUGUAAAGCUCUGUCAGCAGGGAACAAAGCAAUGACGGUACCUGACCAAGAAGCCCCGGCUAACUACGUGCCAGCAGCCGCGGUAAUACGUAGGGGGCAAGCGUUAUCCGGAAUUACUGGGUGUAAAGGGAGCGUAGACGGCUGUGCAAGUCUAGAGUGAAAGGCGGGGGCCCAACC
RNAcentral lists this ribosomal RNA (553 nucleotides) under uncultured bacterium. RNAcentral describes it as "bacterial SSU rRNA". It matches the Rfam family "Bacterial small subunit ribosomal RNA", at positions 42 to 614 of the family's 1533-position model. The record is from RNAcentral.